Molecule: ribosomal RNA, 491 nt
Filed under: uncultured bacterium
Lineage: Bacteria
Description: partial 16S ribosomal RNA
Rfam family: Bacterial small subunit ribosomal RNA
Source: RNAcentral
AGUGAACGCUGGCGGUAGGCCUAACACAUGCAAGUCGAACGGCAGCACAGUAAGAGCUUGCUCUUACGGGUGGCGAGUGGCGGACGGGUGAGGAAUACAUCGGAAUCUACUUUUUCGUGGGGGAUAACGUAGGGAAACUUACGCUAAUACCGCAUACGACCUACGGGUGAAAGCAGGGGAUCUUCGGACCUUGCGCGAUUGAAUGAGCCGAUGUCGGAUUAGCUAGUUGGCGGGGUAAAGGCCCACCAAGGCGACGAUCCGUAGCUGGUCUGAGAGGAUAAUCGGCCACGCUGGAAGUGAGGCACGGUCCAGACUCCGACGGGAGGCAGCGGUGGGGAAUAUGGGACAGAGGGCGCAAGCCUGAUCCAGCCAGACCGCGUGGGUGAAGAAGGCCUUCGGGUUGUAAAGCCCUUUUGUUGGGAGAGAAAAGCAGCAGGUUAAGACCCCGCUGUUCUGACGGUACCCAAAGAAUAAGCACCGGCUAACUUCGU